AAACGUACGCUGGCGGCACGCCUAACACAUGCAAGUCGAACGAAGUAGCAAUACUUAGUGGCAGACGGGUGAGUAACAUGUAGGUAUCUGCCCUUUGGCCUGGAAUAACACGAGGAAACUUGUGCUAAUACCGGAUAAGUCUUUACGGAGAAAGCUUUAUGCACCAUUGGAUGAGCCUGCACUUGAUUAGUUUGUUGGUGGGGUAAUGGCCUACCAAGACUGUGAUCAAUAGCUGAUUUGAGAGGAUGAUCAGCCACAUUGGGACUGAGACACGGCCCAAACUCCUACGGGAGGCAGCAGUGGGGAAUCUUGCACAAUGGAGGAAACUCUGAUGCAGCGAUGCCGCGUGAGUGAAGAAGGCCCUUGGGUUGUAAAGCUCUUUCGUCGGGGAAGAAAAUGACUGUACCCGAAUAAGAAGGUCCGGCUAACUUCGUGCCAGCAGCCGCGGUAAUACGAAGGGACCUAGCGUAGUUCGGAAUUACUGGGCUUAAAGAGUUCGUAGGUGGUUGAAAAAGUUAGUGGUGAAAUCCCAGAGCUUAACUCUGGAACUGCCAUUAAAACUUUUCAGCUAGAGUAUGAUAGAGGAAAGCAGAAUUUCUAGUGUAGAGGUGAAAUUCGUAGAUAUUAGAAAGAAUACCAAUUGCGAAGGCAGCUUUCUGGAUCAUUACUGACACUGAGGAACGAAAGCAUGGGUAGCGAAGAGGAUUAGAUACCCUCGUAGUCCAUGCCGUAAACGAUGUGUGUUAGACGUUGGAAAUUUAUUUUCAGUGUCGCAGGGAAACCGAUAAACACACCGCCUGGGGAGUACGACCGCAAGGUUAAAACUCAAAUGAAUUGACGGGGACCCGCACAAGUAGUGGAGCAUGUGGUUUAAUUCGAAGAUACGCGCAGAACCUUACCAACACUUGACAUGUUCGUCGCGACUCUAAGAGAUUAGAGUUUUCGGUUCGGCCGGACGAAACACAGGUGCUGCAUGGCUGUCGUCAGCUCGUGUCGUGAGAUGUUGGGUUAAGUCCCGCAACGAGCGCAACCCUCACUUUUAGUUGCCAUCAUUAAGUUGGGCACUCUGAAAGAACUGCCAGUGAUAAGCUGGAGGAAGGUGGGGAUGACGUCAAGUCCUCAUGGCCCUUACGUGUUGGGCUACACACGUGCUACAAUGGUAUCUACAACAGGAAGCAAAACUGCGAAGUUAAGCAAAUCCCUAAAAGAUACCUCAGUUCGGAUUGCACUCUGCACCUCGAGUGCAUGAAGCUGGAAUUACUAGUAAUCGUGGAUCAGCGUGCCACGGUGAAUGCGUUCCCGGGUCU
RNAcentral lists this ribosomal RNA (1307 nucleotides) under uncultured bacterium. Its description in RNAcentral is "bacterial SSU rRNA". It matches the Rfam family "Bacterial small subunit ribosomal RNA", at positions 26 to 1381 of the family's 1533-position model. The record is from RNAcentral.